UGCUAAAUAAUGCAUAAAUUAAUAUCUUAUUCAUAGCACUUAUCAUUAUUUUAAUUCAUAUAUUUUGUAAAUUCAACUAAAAAAUGUAUUACCUUCACCAGUGCAUUUUAAUGAAUUAUCAAAGGUAAUUCAAGUUUGAUUUGAUUAUUUAUUGAUUAAGUUUAAUGCAUGCAGGUCAAGUCAAACUCAAUUGGGUAAAGCCUAAACGGACACUACAUCAUUUCACAAUUUUAUAUUUUUCAGAGUCGACUCCAAGAAUUCUUUUCCAAAAUUCAGUGCUUUUCAAGUUCACCUAAAUUUCUUUCCACUCGUUCCAACUCUUUUUCCACAUAACCCAAUUUUCCUAUUUUAAUCUCAAAAACCAAUAAAAUUCUUUCAAUUAUUUGUCUC
RNAcentral lists this long non-coding RNA (390 nucleotides) under Phoenix dactylifera (date palm). RNAcentral's name for it is "long non-coding RNA (PDAC_LNC016278)". The record is from RNAcentral. Lineage: Eukaryota; Viridiplantae; Streptophyta; Magnoliopsida; Arecales; Arecaceae.